RNAcentral lists this long non-coding RNA (1184 nucleotides) under Homo sapiens (human). Its description in RNAcentral is "HSALNT0306039". Lineage: Eukaryota; Metazoa; Chordata; Mammalia; Primates; Hominidae. The record is from RNAcentral.
GGAUUUGCCGCCGCGCUUGGGAAGCCGCCACCGCCGCCGCUGCUGCAUGGCACUAGGCUCCCGGCGGGGCAGGUUCCGCAGCCGGCACCGCUCUGGCUAGGCGCACGGAGGCGCCUUGCUUAGUCUGACCCUUAUUUGGCCAGGCGUAAAACUUGUCCUGCCUAAAAGCCUACUGAGACCUCCUAACUGGUCUAAUCCGCGGGAGACGCCAAAGGCGGCGGCCGUUUGUGCGCACAGGAUUUUUCUUGGAGCUGUAGCAGUCUAGGAAGCCAGGGUGGAACUUUUGCUAAGCUCCCGUUGUAAGCCCAGAGCUGUAAUAACUGCUGAGACACAACCAGCAGUAUACAGGCUCCAGUUGGAAAUCGAGAACUUUCCAGGGCUGUCACCCAGGCUGGAGUGCAGUGGUGCCAUCACAGCUCACUGCAGCCUCGACCUCCUAGGCUAAAGUGAUCCUCCCAACUCAGCCUCCCGUAGCUGGGACUACAGGAAUGUGCCACGCCCAGAGGAGGACAUACAAAGGAGUCCUGGCUAAUGAGAGAUAAGCAUGUGCCUGCUGUGGAGCUUCUUGGAAAGUUUCAACUGGUAAAAGGGGAAGAAUUGAACACAGAAGUGAUGGCAAGAGAUGGUAAACUCCUGCAAAGCAGAUUGUUUGGUUCUUCUUCCUUCACGGUGCCUGACCCAUCGUUCUGCAGAUAUUAGUCACCACUUGUCUUGAGUGGCUACCUGGGGUUAAGAAAAAAGCUCUGCCCUGAAUGCCAAUGGGAAGGACAGCUGUUGCAGCUCCUGAGUGCAGGCCAAGGAAGGCAUUCACCUUCAUGAAAACCAGGACUACUGUGCAUGACAAUGAACUACUGGAUAGAGACUGAUGCCUUUAAGAUAGUCCUACUUUCAAUCUUCUAUCAUGGAGAAUAUCCAAUCAAAUGAGAAGUGGAACAAGUCAAAACAUGUUCCAGGCAAAAUGAAGGAACAAGGAUGACUGGUGGAGAGUAAGCAGUCUGCAUGGUGUGAUGGCUGGCUGAGGUGGUCUUGUGGAUCUGCGACACUGGAGGAAGUGCUGUCCUGGGAGGAAAGUCUGGCAAAGCAAGCCUGGAUCAGUGGAAGGGCUUGAGCAGCAGGCUGAGCAGUAUGGGCUUUGGACUACAGGUCUGUGCUCCGACACCUCAUCAUGAGAGAGGACUUCCCUA